UCCUAGUUAACCUAGGCAGUCUCAUUAGAGUGCCCAACCGAAUUGCUGGCAACUAAUGAUAAGGGUUACGCUCGUUGCGGGACUUAACCCAACACCUCACGGCACGAGCUGACGACAGCCAUGCAGCACCUGUGCAGCAGUCCCUUGCGGGAAAACGACAUCUCUGUCGCGGUCUACUACAUGUCAAGUCUGGGUAAGGUUCUUCGCGUUGCAUCGAAUUAAACCACAUGCUCCACUGCUUGUGCGGGUCCCCGUCAAUUCUUUUGAGUUUAACCCUUGCGAGUGUACUCCCCAGGCGGUAUACUUAUCGCGUUAGCUACGGCACAACUGGGGUUGAGUCCAGUUACGCCAAGUAUACAUUGUUUACGGCAAGGACUAC
This 379-nucleotide unclassified non-coding RNA is filed under the name uncultured Chlamydiales bacterium. Its description in RNAcentral is "contains 16S-23S intergenic spacer region". The record is from RNAcentral. Lineage: Bacteria; Pseudomonadati; Chlamydiota; Chlamydiia; Chlamydiales.